Molecule: RNA transcript, 2880 nt
Organism: Rhagoletis zephyria (snowberry fruit fly)
Lineage: Eukaryota; Metazoa; Arthropoda; Insecta; Diptera; Tephritidae
Gene: CoRest
Gene name: REST corepressor
Source: RefSeq, a predicted model, not a curated record
GAGUGUGUUAAAACAAUCCUUUACUAUGUACAUGUCUUGGGCUCUUUUUGUUGGCUAAAGUUACGUACACAUUCACUACGGUCGUUUUUUAAAGUAAGCUGUGAAUUCAGCGGAGUGCUUACAAUACAGCGGCUGAGAGUUUUACCUGCCCAUUCAUUGUGAUUGUGGCUAGAAGCGAGGCUGCAGCAGUUGGCACAUCGGACGCUCUCGCCUUUUUAAAUUUAAAUAAUUUUCUGUAACUACCUUAGAUAAUACUAUUCGAGCUGGUAUAAGAUCUAACGAAGUAAUAUCAAAAACUCGCAACGAAUUCCUGGUGUUGAGAAGUAUCUAGCUUAGUUUAAAUUGAGACUGUGUAGUGACUGGCUGAGAAAAUCUCCGUUGGAACGAUAAGGGAAUAAAAAGAUUUCAAUUGAGUUGCCUAGUAUAUUUUGUUAAUUGCGUGAAACAGCGCAGCUAGAACUGGAAAAGCUUAAAACUGGAGAAACAAAACCGAGUUAAACUGAUUCGAGACAAAAUGGUCCUGGCUGAGAGAAACUCAGAGUUGGUACGGAAUGGGAGGCGAUCACGCGGUCCAAGUCCGAAUGGUCACGGCGGCAGCGUUGCUGGUGGUACAGUAGGCGGGAGUUCCAAUAUUGGUAGUGGGGGUACUGGUGGUGCGGGAACUCCGGAAACUAGUUCCGAUGAUGAUAAUUCCAUUAAGCGCAACGGAAAGUCAAAAAAUAAACAGAGCGAAUAUGAGGAAAAAAUUCGUGUCGGUCGCGACUACCAGGCCAUAUGUCCACCUCUUAUACCAGAAAAUGAACGUAAACCAGAAGGUCUUAACGAUCGCGCCUUAUUAGUUUGGUCACCUACUAAAGAGAUACCAGAUGCGAAACUGGAAGAAUAUAUAUCAGUUGCUAAAGAGAAAUACGGUUAUAAUGGUGAACAGGCCCUAGGCAUGUUGUUCUGGCAUAAACAUGAUCUAGAACGCGCCGUAAUGGAUCUGGCUAAUUUCACUCCCUUCCCCGAUGAAUGGACAGUGGAAGACAAAGUGUUAUUUGAACAAGCAUUUCAAUUCCAUGGAAAGAGCUUUCACCGCAUUCGGCAAAUGUUGCCUGAUAAAUCGAUAGCUAGUUUGGUGAAAUACUACUACUCAUGGAAAAAGACACGGCACAGACAAAGCGUAAUGGACCGACAAGAAAAGGCAAAAGCAAGUAAAGAAGGUUCAGAAAAUGGCAGUGAAAAUGGUAGCAAUGAAGAAUCUGAUACAGAUGACAAGGAUCAAGCAUUGGCCUCAACUUCUGGGUUGCAAGAUCAAACGAAAGUAGGCGGCAGCGGUAUUGGCGGUGUAGGCGCAUCUGCCGAUUUACAAAACAAAUCAAAUAAGUCGAGCGAAGUCGGUGUUGCUGCAGGUGGCAGCAGCGGUCUCGGCGGCGAAGCUGACAGUGAGAACACAACUGCUUCUGGUUCGUUGAAUGUAAUCGCCACAGGACGCGACAGUGGUCUAGUUGCCAAUGUUGGUGCCGUGUCAAGCGGUUUUAAACAUCAGCGCCAACAGACGCCGCCCAACAUGGCGAAUACCGAUUCGUCGUGUUCAAAUGCGGACUCAACGGGCUUGAGCGGUUGUUGCACCAAUUGUGGAGUUCCUUGCACUGUGCUUAACGCAUCGCCGCACGGUAAACUAUGUUCAAGUUGCCACCACCAUUGGAGGCGUACCGGUAAUAAGAGACCUACUUCUGGUCCAUACUUUGGUAAGCGAUCACGCGAUCGCAAUGCUGAAAGGCACAAGCGUAAACCACCGCGAGGCAUGUAUAUUAAUCACGAUGAUAUUGUGGCACUGGCCAGAGCUAACGACAAUCAAGACGAAUUACUUGCCAAUACAGACAGGGAAAUCGUUUCAUUAUUGAGCCAAGUUCAGCUAAAUAAGCAAAAUAUAUCCGCCCUAAAGCGUAAGAAUUCCGAAGGAUUAGAUGAUAUGCGUCCAACUGAGAACUCCAAUCGCAUAAACUCACGUUGGUCCAACGAUGAAGCUUUGCUGGUUGUGCAGGGAGUACGAAAAUAUGGCAAGGACUUCCAAACAAUAGCCGAAACGAUUGGCACGAAGACAGAGGCUCACGUACGCACUUUCUUUGUUAGCAACCGUCGACGUUACAAUCUAGAUCAGGAACUAAAAAAGUAUGAAGCAGAAAAAGAGGAAGCAGCUGUAGCUGCCAAUGCUUCUGCAGCUGUAAUUGAAACGACCAACGAAAACAAAAAGAAGGAUGACUUGAAAAAGAGGGAAAUCCCUGCGUCAACUGGUGGUGUGGUCGGUGGCGUUUCGUCUGUUGUUGGCGAUGAAUCGGAUAAUACAACCUCAAGUGAAACAACUGCAUCAAAAUCCAUAAACGACGAAGCCAAGUGUAAUAAUAGCAAUACCAAUUUACAAAAGGACAACGUUAUAAUGGAGAUUGACUUAGAUGCUGAUCAAACGGAUAUAGCACCACCAGCCAAAAAGUUCGCACUCCAUGUUGGAGGGCAGGAGUUUCCCAAAGCGAGUGCAAACUAAGUCAAUGAUGAUGGUUUUACGCAGUAGGAAGAGAGAUCACAGAGAGGGAAAGCAUUCUCUAAUGCAAAUCAGUGCAGAACAAGACAGGAGAUACUGGGGGCUCGGUAUCGAUAUACACAAUAACAGUUGUACUAUUAUAGAGGAGUAAAAGAAGAAAAACUGGCGGUUGGAAAAAAUUGACACUUAACAAAUUGUGGAGUUUUAAAAUACAAGAAGCUUGUUUACCUGAUAAGUAGUUUUAGUUUUUUUGACAUAUAAACCCAAAAACUCGAUGAAUGAUAUUGAGUUUAUUUUUAAAUAAAUAUCAGAUUUUAAAGCAAUAAUGGCCCUAUUAUGAGUUGCAUUCGAUUUUCGAU